Molecule: ribosomal RNA, 425 nt
Filed under: uncultured bacterium
Lineage: Bacteria
Description: partial 16S ribosomal RNA
Rfam family: Bacterial small subunit ribosomal RNA
Source: RNAcentral
GUGGGGAAUAUUGGACAAUGGGCGAAAGCCUGAUCCAGCCAUGCCACGUGAGUGAUGAAGGCCUUAGGGUUGUAAAGCUCUUUCAGUAGGGAAGAUAAUGACGGUACCUACAGAAGAAGCCCCGGCUAACUUCGUGCCAGCAGCCGCGGUAAUACGAAGGGGGCUAGCGUUGUUCGGAUUUACUGGGCGUAAAGCGCACGUAGGCGGAUUGGUCAGUUAGAGGUGAAAUCCUGGAGCUCAACUCCAGAACUGCCUUUAAUACUGCCAGUCUAGAGUCCAGAAGAGGUGAGUGGAACUCCUAGUGUAGAGGUGGAAUUCGUAGAUAUUAGGAAGAACACCAGUGGCGAAGGCGGCUCACUGGUCUGGUACUGACGCUGAGGUGCGAAAGCGUGGGGAGCAAACAGGAUUAGAAACCCUAGUAGUCC